RNAcentral lists this ribosomal RNA (1450 nucleotides) under uncultured bacterium. Its description in RNAcentral is "bacterial SSU rRNA". It matches the Rfam family "Bacterial small subunit ribosomal RNA". The record is from RNAcentral.
UAGUUUGAUCCUGGCUCAGGGUGAACGCUAGCGGUGCGCCUAAUACAUGCAAGUCGAGCGAAAUAAUAAUGACUGAUCUCUCCGGAGUGAAGAUAUUAUUUGAAAGCGGCGAACGGGUGAGGAACACGUUGGUAUCUGCCCCCAAGUCAGGGAUAGCCCAGGGAAACCUGGAUUAAUACCGGAUAGUCUCUUCGGAGUAAAAACUUAUUGCUUGGGGAGGAACCUGCGUUCUAUCAGCUUGUUGGUGAGGUAAUGGCUUACCAAGGCUAUGACGGAUAACUGGUCUGAGAGGAUGAUCAGUCACAAUGGAACUGAGACACGGUCCAUACUCCUACGGGAGGCAGCAGUAAGGAAUCUUCCACAAUGGACGAAAGUCUGAUGGAGCGACACCGCGUGAAGGACGACGGUCUAACGAUUGUAAACUUCUUUUCUGAAGGAGCAUAAUGAGAGUACUUCAGGAAUAAGGGACGGCUAAAUACGUGCCAGCAGCCGCGGUAAUACGUAUGUCCCAAGCGUUACCCGGAAUUAUUKGGGUGUAAAGGGUUCGUAGGCGGGAAUAUAAGUCAGAUAUAAAAGACCGGAGCUCAACUCCGCGUUUGUAUUUGAAACUGUAUUUCUAGAAUGAGGGAGAGGUAAGCGGAAUUCUAAGUGUAGGGGUGCAAUCCGUAGAUACUUAGAAGAACACCAAAAGCGAAGGCAGCUUACUGGAACUCUAUUGACGCUCAUGAACGAAAGCGUGGGUAGCGAAAAGGAUUAGAUACCCUUGUAGYCCACGCCCUAAAUGAUGAUAACUAAGUGUUGCUUAUUGAAGCAGUGCUGUAGCUAACGCGUUAAGUUAUCCACCUGAGUAGUACGGUCGCAAGAUUAAAACUCAAAGGAAUAGACGGGGACCCACACAAGCAGUGGAUCAUGUGGUUUAAUUCGACAAUAAACGGGGAAUCUUACCCAGGCUUGACAUCUACCGAAUCUUUUAGAAAUAAAAGAGUGUCUUUAUUGAAGCGGUAUGACAGGUGCUGCAUGGUUGUCGUCAGCUCGUGCCUUGAGGUGUUCGGUUAAGUCCGUUAACGAGCGCAACCCAUGUUCUUAGUUAUUAUGUCUAAGAAGACUGCCUUGGUUAACAAGGAGGAAGGUGUGGAUGACGUCAAAUCAGCAUGGCUUUUACGCCUGGGGCUACACACAUGAUACAAUGGUAUAUACAGAGGGUAGCGAUAUUGCAAAAUGGAGCUAAUCCUUAAAAUAUAUCUCAGUCCGGAUUGGAGUCUGCAACUCGACUCCAUGAAGUUGGAAUUGCUAGUAAUCGUGAAUCAGAUAUGUCACGGUGAAUAUGUUCCUGGGUCUUGUACUCACCGCCCGUCAUGGCAUGGAAGGUAGUAAUAUCGGAAGCUCCCCUAGUAAUAUGGGGAUCCAUGGUAAGACUACUGACUGGGCUAAAGUCGUAACAAGGUAGCCG